GUAUUAACUGGUGUCUAGGAUGGGUCUCUUACUUAUGGAAAAAGGAGUAAAGCCCCACCCUUUCCUUUUGGGAGGAGGUCUUAGGUUGCAGCUUGUGGGUGAGGGGCAUUGAAGAGUAAAGAAAUGUUGCUGGUAUGAUGAGUAAAACCUCAGAACACAUUUCUUAUAGCAACAGAAUUAUAAACAAGAGUUGCUUGUAGUUAAAAUACUACUAGUAUCUCUUCAAGUAUUUAGGGGUCAAAUAAGAUUUUAUGGAUCAGUCUGGAAAUCCAAUCAGCAUCUUAGGUGAAAGGAUUCUGAUUCUAAACUUUUAGACACUAUCUCACAUGCACUGAGAGCUGUAUCUAGUGUUCUUCCAUUUCCUCUCUCUGUGCUUCUCAGGGCCACUUAGACUUCCUUCAUCCCCAGAACCAAAGGGACCAGAAACUUAGAAGAUGUCACAAUUUUAUCUGCUACUGACCCUGCAGGCAGGGCUGCCUGGUGGUGAAACAAUAUGUUACGUAACAGAGUCGAGACAGGUUUGUGUCGGAUGGAUGCAGGCUCCAACCCUGUGCUGCACUACCUGGCUGCCCAAUCUCCCUCAACGAGCCUCAGUUUUUCACCUGUAAAGUGGGGAUAAUGCAUCCACAUCUCAGGAUCAUUGCGAAGAGUGAGGACAUCACAUAUAAAAAACUGGCCCACAGAAAGCAUGGAGUAAAUGCCAGCUGUUACAGCAGCUUCUGUAGGAAGGCAGAGCCUGCCUUGCAGCCACUCCACUGGCAAACGUGUCAAUAGGAAGAGUGAGAAGUGAGCAAUGCCUCCUGAGCUGAUGCCUACAGAAGAGCUGUGACAAUCUGCCUCUAGAACAACCUCAGCAAGCUGCCUGGCCCAGGGGAAAUCCAACCGUGGUGACUUUGCCCAGAUUCUGCAAGAUGCUUUCUAAUUGUUGGUGUUCACGAGGGACAAGCAACAGCUGAGCUCAUUCCCUUCCCAUCAGUUUGCAACAUCUGCCCCAGCCCUUACUGACAGUAGAGAAAAAUAAGGACUUUCCGAUCACACCUUUAGGCCACCAAUCUUCAAUGAGUUACUGGGCCCUUCCAGAAAUCAGAUUUUCUAACUGGUCCCUGCAUUGGCUCCAGCAGCUUUGGAGUGUGAGUGCUGUCUCUUUGGAGAGAUUGUGGGCUCCUUGAGGGCUCUGUCUUUUUGUUCUGUGUAGCCCCAGCACAUAGUAGGGGAAGACACACAGGAAAUCCAAAAGCAUGGGAAGACCCUGGGCUGAGGGAGCAGAGGCUGAAACUCUGGGAAAAGCUGUGAGGACCACAAAAGUGGUUGGGCCCCUAAUGGCCUCGAGACCCGGGGUACAACAAACCCCACAGGAGGCCCAAUGACAUCCCCUGUCCUAACUCAGCUCAGGAAGAGGCAGCUGCCAUGGUUUAAAGAAUGUGGGUUUUUAGGGUAGAUAGACCCCACAUCUGCUUCAUACCUUGCUGCAUGAUUUAUUUCCCUUCUCUGAGCCUUAGUUUCCUCAUUACAAAAAUGUAAAUAAAAAUAUCUUCUUUACAUGAUCA
RNAcentral lists this long non-coding RNA (1547 nucleotides) under Pan troglodytes (chimpanzee). RNAcentral describes it as "lincRNA". Lineage: Eukaryota; Metazoa; Chordata; Mammalia; Primates; Hominidae. The record is from RNAcentral.